Long non-coding RNA from Rattus norvegicus (Norway rat), 483 nucleotides. RefSeq lists it as uncharacterized. Lineage: Eukaryota; Metazoa; Chordata; Mammalia; Rodentia; Muridae. The record is from RefSeq and is a predicted model, not a curated record.
AUCUUCCAGAUCUCCCCAUUUUGUCAAAAUGACAGUAUUCCAUUGUAUAUUGUAGCAAUCAGAUCGCCCACUGUGUAUAUAGACAUUUUCUUUAUCUACCCAGUUGCCGAUGGGCACCUGUGAGGACUUCGUACUUUAAUCACUGUUGAACAAUAGGCCAUAGCCAUACCCUCAAGUUCUGGGGAGUACCCAAGAGCAAUUACAAUAUCAUGUGGCAUUCAAGGGCGCUAUGGACUCCAUCGUUCAACAGCUCCAACAGACACAACCAUUUCUGGACCCAGGAUUCUUCUUUGCCAGUCUGUGAUACAUAAGUCAAGACACUGGGGUCAUUGAUCCAUUUUGAGUUGAACCUUGUGAGAGUGAGAGACAGAGGUGUCAUUUCAUUCUCCUAUAUGCAUAUGAUGCUACAAAUUUCACUUAGAAUUAACUUCAUUGUGUCCCAUUAAAUGAAAAGAAAAAUGUUGGAAAUCUGGCUAAAGCAAA